GCCUAGCCCCGAUGGGAGGGAAAAUCCUUUUGUGCCGGUCCCGAGGCAUAAAAGAUUGGAAGGAACAGCGGGAAAUAGC
RNAcentral lists this small RNA (79 nucleotides) under Flavobacterium cutihirudinis. RNAcentral's name for it is "Flavo-1 RNA". It matches the Rfam family "Flavo-1 RNA". The record is from RNAcentral. Lineage: Bacteria; Pseudomonadati; Bacteroidota; Flavobacteriia; Flavobacteriales; Flavobacteriaceae.